Molecule: ribosomal RNA, 512 nt
Rfam family: Eukaryotic large subunit ribosomal RNA
UGAAACACGGACCAAGGAGUCUAACAUGUUCGCAAGUCAUUGGGUUGUAAAACCCAAAGGCAUAAUGAAAGUGAAGAUCAGUUCUGCUGGUCGAGGUGGGAUCUCUCUUCAAGGGAGCGCACCACCGUCCCAUCGCAUUUGCUCGUCAAAGCGGUGGAGAAAGAGCGUACAUGUUGGGACCCGAAAGAUGGUGAACUAUGCCUGAGCAGGAUGAAGCCAGAGGAAACUCUGGUGGAGGUCCGUAGCGGUUCUGACGUGCAAAUCGAUCGUCAGACUUGGGUAUAGGGGCGAAAGACUAAUCGAACCAUCUAGUAGCUGGUUCCCUCCGAAGUUUCCCUCAGGAUAGCUGGCACUUAAACGCAGUUUUACCCGGUAAAGCGAAUGAUUAGAGGCCUUGGGGACGAAACGACCUCAACCUAUUCUCAAACUUUAAAUGGGUAAGAAGUCUCGCUUGCCUGACCGAAGCUCAGACAUUGAAUGCGAGUGCCAAGUGGGCCAUUUUUGGUAAGCAG